GAAAUUAUAGUCAAUAAUGAUAUUUGGGUUGCAUUCAAAAGGUGCCUUUUAGGGCUAAUUUUG
RNAcentral lists this transfer RNA (63 nucleotides) under Alvinocaris kexueae. RNAcentral describes it as "tRNA-Ala". Lineage: Eukaryota; Metazoa; Arthropoda; Malacostraca; Decapoda; Alvinocarididae. The record is from RNAcentral.